ACUUCCGAAGCAAGGUUGUCGGCUCUCCGGACAUUCCCGAAGUCCUGCGUUUAACACCCUUGCCUUCAGCCGUACUCACCGUGUGCAAGAUCUUGCAGAGAUUAAGCAUCCGCAGCGCAUGCAUACAUUUUUUCGUUAAUUGCAUAAACAUGUAUUUAAAACAUGUUUUUGUAUUAAUUUUAACGGUUCAUUUUUUAACCUACGCCAAUUUGUAGCCGAUUGGUCAUUCUGUUGAAAGUGCGUACAUACGAACUACUUUGUUUACGUUUUCCAAGUUGGCGACCGCCAGCGUACAAACCAUGCAGGUUUAUUGUUACUGAUUAUCAUGACAUGAGGUGCAAGGACUUGACAGGAGAUCUGAGAAGUUAGCAGUUUAAUUUCUAUGUUAAUUUCAAUACAUGUAGUAUUAUAUUUUUUGAAUGGACAUAUUAUAAGGAACUGUAACAAAGAGAAGCUGACUUGAAAGAAACAUACUUUGUAUGUUGUGUGCUGAUAGAGAAUGACAGAGUCACAGACUAUUAUAAAUGUUGCAAUUCAAACAAUUAUCAUAGACACAGGAAAUAAACAUAUAUAACUUUUA
Mytilus trossulus (common blue mussel) is the source of this 580-nucleotide long non-coding RNA. RefSeq lists it as uncharacterized. The record is from RefSeq and is a predicted model, not a curated record. Lineage: Eukaryota; Metazoa; Mollusca; Bivalvia; Mytilida; Mytilidae. The transcript is spliced from 3 exons.